Molecule: non-coding RNA, 70 nt
Organism: Podarcis lilfordi (Lilford's wall lizard)
Lineage: Eukaryota; Metazoa; Chordata; Lepidosauria; Squamata; Lacertidae
Source: the annotation of a GenBank genome assembly
GCAAUAGCUCAGUUGGUAGAGCAUGAGUUUCUUAAUUUUAGGGUCAUGGGUUCAAGCCCCGUGUUGGGCA